UACGGAGGGUGCAAGCGUUAUCCGGAUUCACUGGGUUUAAAGGGUGCGUAGGUGGGUCUGUAAGUCAGUGGUGAAAUCUCCGUGCUUAACAUGGAAACUGCCAUUGAUACUAUAGGUCUUGAAUUAUCUGGAGGUUAGCGGAAUAUGUCAUGUAGCGGUGAAAUGCUUAGAUAUGACAUAGAACACCAAUUGCGAAGGCAGCUGGCUACAGGUAUAUUGACACUGAGGCACGAAAGCGUGGGGAUCAAACAGG
This 253-nucleotide ribosomal RNA is filed under the name uncultured bacterium. RNAcentral describes it as "partial 16S ribosomal RNA". It matches the Rfam family "Bacterial small subunit ribosomal RNA", at positions 524 to 776 of the family's 1533-position model. The record is from RNAcentral.